UACGUAGGUCCCGAGCGUUGUCCGGAUUUAUUGGGCGUAAAGCGAGCGCAGGUGGUUUAUUAAGUCUGGUGUAAAAGGCAGUGGCACAACCAUUGUAUGCAUUGGAAACUGGUAGACUUGAGUGCAGGAGAGGAGAGUGGAAUUCCAUGUGUAGCGGUGAAAUGCGUAGAUAUAUGGAGGAACACCAGUGGCGAAGGCGGCUUACUGGACGAUGACUGACGCUGAGGCUCGAAAGCGUGGGGAGCAAACAGG
Molecule: ribosomal RNA, 252 nt
Filed under: uncultured bacterium
Lineage: Bacteria
Description: partial 16S ribosomal RNA
Rfam family: Bacterial small subunit ribosomal RNA
Source: RNAcentral